UACCUGGCUCAGGAUAAACGCUGCGGCGCACAUAAGACAUGCAAGUCGAACGAAGAUACGUUACAAAAAGGAAUUGUAAGAUUUAUCGGAUUGAGAUUUUGUAACAAUGGUCUUAGUGGCGGACUGGUGAGUAACGCGUAAGGAACCUGCCUUUUAGAGGGGAAUAACAAUGAGAAAUCAUUGCUAAUACCGCAUAUGCCAUAGUUAUCACAUGAUAAUAGUGGGAAAGGAGCAAUUCGCUAAAAGAUGGCCUUGCGUCUGAUUAGAUAGUUGGUAAGGUAACGGCUUACCAAGUCGACGAUCAGUAGCCGGACUGAGAGGUUGAACGGCCACAUUGGGACUGAGAUACGGCCCAGACUCCUACGGGAGGCAGCAGUCGGGAAUAUUGCGCAAUGGAGGAAACUCUGACGCAGUGACGCCGCGUAUAGGAAGAAGUUUUUCGGAAUGUAAACUAUUGUCGUUAGGGAAGAGAAAGGACAGUACCUAAGGAGGAAGCUCCGGCUAACUAACGUG
This 513-nucleotide ribosomal RNA is filed under the name uncultured Eubacteriales bacterium. RNAcentral's name for it is "bacterial SSU rRNA". It matches the Rfam family "Bacterial small subunit ribosomal RNA", at positions 16 to 507 of the family's 1533-position model. Lineage: Bacteria; Bacillati; Bacillota; Clostridia; Eubacteriales. The record is from RNAcentral.